Molecule: non-coding RNA, 28 nt
Filed under: Bombyx mori (domestic silkworm)
Lineage: Eukaryota; Metazoa; Arthropoda; Insecta; Lepidoptera; Bombycidae
Source: RNAcentral
UAUCCGAGACGUGGUUAAAGCCAGGAUA